Molecule: RNA transcript, 3747 nt
Organism: Lutra lutra (Eurasian river otter)
Lineage: Eukaryota; Metazoa; Chordata; Mammalia; Carnivora; Mustelidae
Gene: ABCG5
Gene name: ATP binding cassette subfamily G member 5
Exons: 14
Source: RefSeq, a predicted model, not a curated record
GGUCUGGGGAGGGAUUCCAGAGCACAGUGGGGAGCAGGCAGGGCAGUGUGCUCCUGGCUCCUUUACUGAGGCUUCUCCGGGGAGAGUCAGGCCACCCCAAAAUUUGCCUGUUUCUGCUGUCUCUUGGCCAUGAAUGAAUUCCCAUCUUUGACCCCUAUGGGGUCCUUGGGGAACCAAGUAAACAGAGACCCCCAGAACUCCCUAGAGGAGGUUCCCGUAGUUGCUUCAAAGCCUCGACACAGCCUAGGCAUUCUUCAUGUCUCCUACCAUGUAAGCCACCAAGCUGGGCCCUGGUGGGACUUCACAUCUUGCCGGCAGCGGUGGGACAGGCAGAUCCUCAAAGAGGUCUCCUUGUACGUCGAGAGCGGGCAGAUCCUGUGCAUCUUAGGGAGCUCAGGCUCAGGGAAAACCACGCUGCUGGAUGCCAUGUCUGGGAGGCUGCGGCGCACAGGGACCUUCCUUGGGGAGGUGUUUGUUAACGGCCAGCCACUGCGCAGGGAGCAGUUCCAGGACUGCUUCUCCUAUGUCCAGCAGAGUGACACACUGCUGAGCAACCUGACCGUGCGGGAGACUCUGCGCUAUGCCGCGCUGCUGGCUGUGCGCCACGGCUCCCCGGGGUUUUUCCAGAGGAAGGUGGACGCAGUUAUGGUGGAGCUGAGUCUGAGCCAUGUGGCAGAUCGACUGAUUGGCAGCUGCAACCUUGGGGGGAUUUCCAAUGGCGAGCGGCGCCGGGUCUCCAUCGCAGCCCAGCUCCUCCAGGAUCCCAAGUUCAUGCUGUUUGAUGAGCCUACCACAGGCCUGGACUGCAUGACAGCAAAUCAAAUCGUUGUCCUCCUGGCAGAGCUGGCUCACAGGGACCGCAUUGUGAUUGUCACCAUCCAUCAGCCACGCUCUGAGCUCUUCCAGCUCUUUGAUAAAAUCGCCAUUCUGAGCUACGGAGAGCUGGUUUUCUGUGGGACACCAGCAGAAAUGCUUGAUUUCUUCAGUGGUUGCAGUUACCCUUGUCCUGAACAUUCAAACCCUUUUGACUUUUAUAUGGACCUGACAUCAGUGGAUACUCAAAGCAAAGAACGGGAAAUAGAAACCUACAAGAGAGUUCAAAUGAUUGAAUCUGCCUACAAAGAAUCAGCAAUUUAUCGCAAAACCUUGGAAAAUAUUGAAAGAACAAAACACCUGAAAACAUUACCAGUGGUUCCUUUCAAAACCAAAGAUUCUCCUGGAGCUCUCUCUAAACUGGAUGUUCUCUUGAGGAGAGUGACAAGGAACUUAAUGAGAAAUAAGCUGGCGGUGAUGAUGCGUCUUGUUCAGAAUCUGAUCAUGGGUUUGUUCCUCAUCUUCUACCUUCUGCGGGUGCCGAGCGAUGUGCUGAAGGGUGCUGUCCAGGACCGCGUGGGACUCCUGUACCACUUUGUGGGUGCCACCCCAUACACAGGCAUGCUGAACGCUAUCAAUCUGUUUCCUGUGCUGCGAGCUGUCAGUGACCAGGAGAGCCAAGACGGCUUGUACCAGAAGUGGCAGAUGCUGCUGGCCUAUGUGCUGCAUGCGCUCCCCUUCAGUGUCCUUGCCACCAUGAUAUUCAGCAGUGUAUGCUACUGGACUCUGGGCUUAUAUCCCGAGGUUGCCAGAUUUGGAUAUUUCUCUGCUGCUCUCUUGGCCCCCCACUUAAUUGGUGAAUUUCUAACUCUUGUGCUACUUGGUAUGGUCCAAAACCCAAAUGUGGUCAACAGCAUAGUGGCUCUGCUCUGCAUUGCUGGGAUACUUGUGGGCUCUGGAUUAGUAAGAAACACAGAAGAAAUGUCCAUUCCUUUUAAAAUCUUCAGUUAUUUUACAUUCCAAAAAUAUUGCUCUGAGAUUCUUAUAGUCAAUGAGUUCUAUGGACAGAAUUUCACUUGUGGCAGCUCAAAUGGUUCUGUGACAACUAAUCCCAUGUGUGUCUUCACUCAAGGAAUUACAUUUAUUGAGAGAAUCUGCCCGGGUGCAACAUCCAGAUUCACAACAAACUUUCUGACUCUGUAUGCCUUUAUCCCAGUUCUUGUCAUCCUCGGAAUAGUUGUUUUUAAAAUAAGGGAUCAUCUCAUUAGCAGAUAGUAAAGAACAUGGCUUUGAAAACGACCUUAAGCCCCAGACGUGCAGGACUACUAUGAAUGUCUGAAAAAAGAAAGCCACUUGUUUCUGGAUAGUACAUCUUAAGUCUUGUAACUUCAUCUGUGACUCAGAGAUCAUGCAGGCUUUGAAUGAUAUUCUGACUUGCAGGGAUACAUGCUAUUUGGAAAUUGUGAGUGAGCUGGUCCAAAAAUGUAAAUAGUAAUAAUUCAUAAAGUUAUGGGAGACUAGUGUGACUGUUUUCUUUGUUUUAGACACAAAAUAAUCUUGCUGUUUUAGACAGCAAAAUAAGUCAGUUAAAAAAUUAUGCUUACAGGGCACAUGACUGGCUCUGUCAGUGGAGCAUGUGACUCUUGAUCUCAGGGUUGUGAGUUCGAACCCCAUACUGGGUGUAGAAACUACUUAAAGAUAAAUUUUUAAAAUUAUGCUUACAAACAAAAUUAUGCUUACAUUUGAUAAAAGCCUUGGUAAGAAGACAUUUGAGUGGUUACUGACUAUAAGUAACAAAAAAGAGUUGUGGGUUUGAGUGAAGCAAAGCAUCCUGCAAAAUUGGGCAGUUGGUGGGAAUGCUUUCAUUAUCCCUGAAAAGCCCAUAUUUAUGUGUGCACGUCCACAUGAGGGUCUUAGUUACCCAGUCACACUGAAAGGAUGUUGGACAGAUGCUGGAUGAAGAUGACCCCUGAUACAGAGCACCUGGUGAUUUUUGGGGAGAUAAAGUGAAAGCCUGUGGGAAUGGGCUGAGCUGAGAUCACAGCAUACGAGACAGACCUCAGGGUCCCUGAAGGUGAAAAACUAGUGCUGAGAAAAAUACCCUAGUCACUGCUCCUGUGGAUGGCUGUGUUCAGGUUACCCUUGCAACAAUGUGACGGCCCAAGUGCCAGAGCUCUACAAAUCCCACCGGAGAGGCUGUCAGGGCAUUCAGUUUAUAAUGCUUGCUGAUAUAAAUUUGGGUUCUGCACAGUGUCUCAUUUCAAAGAUCUGAGAAAAUUUUAAGUAUCAGGUCAUGAUGAAUUUACCAGCUUUUGCAUUCUUACAUCAGACUUUUGUAUCAAAAAUGGCACUAGCUGGGCAUCUUUGGAACACAGUCUCCAUUUUUAACCACUUUUCUAAGAGAUCCUGUGUUUGCAUCCUUUCAUACUGGGUAGUCCUGAAUUUUUCUGGUACAAGAAAAGUUUAUCUGAAUUUUCUAACCAAAAAAAAAAAAAAAAAAAUUAAAUAAAUCCACAAACAAAAGAAUAUUGUGACAUUCUCUCCCCAGCGAGGUGUAAGAAUCACUACCCCAUCUUCAACAUAAACUGGAAAACCCAAAGAGGAUACGUGAACAUUAUGUCAUCUCUGGGUGAUGGAAUGAUUUAAAUUCCUUCUUUAUGCAUAUCAAAUUUUUUUUAUAUAGUGACGAUGUACUAUUUCAAUUAUAUAUUUUUUUAAGAUUUUAUUUUUAAGUACUCUACACCAACCAUGGAGCUCGAACUCAUGACCCCAAACAUUAAGAGUUGCACAAUCUACCAACCGAGCCAGCCAGGCACCCCUUUGGUAAUUUUAAAAGUAAAAAAAAAUAAUAAUAAAACAAAUUGAGAAAAAUCUAUGAAAUUCUAGAGGUAUUUUGUGAUAAAACUCAAGAUAAAAUAAAUGAUAAAGAUACUA